Calidris pugnax (ruff) is the source of this 356-nucleotide long non-coding RNA. RefSeq lists it as uncharacterized. The transcript is spliced from 3 exons. The record is from RefSeq and is a predicted model, not a curated record. NCBI's taxonomy places the organism in Eukaryota, Metazoa, Chordata, Aves, Charadriiformes, Scolopacidae.
CUAAUUUACAGCGCCGUAAACAAAAUUGGAACGAUGCCCUCUGAAAUGUGCAGAAUUGUUUUCAGCUCGCACCGAAGAAGACUGCGUAUUCCAGGGAUUUGCAAAGGCAUCUCGCUACUUGAAAUAGAUUUAUGUCUAGACAGGCAACCUGUGUAUUGUUCCAGCCAAGCUAGGAUUAAAAUGACCCUGGCGAUGCAAGGAUCAGAUCAACUGGAAAGUCUGAAAAGUGGGAGUUAAUGGGAGUGCUGCUGUCAGCCUUCUGUACAGACUCCGGAGGGAAUUUGGAUAAACCAUGGAACCAUGAAAUACUAUAGGUGUGGUGAAACUGGCCAUGUAGCCAUCAACUGCAACAAGAC